This 328-nucleotide long non-coding RNA is filed under the name Elaeis guineensis (African oil palm). RNAcentral describes it as "long non-coding RNA (EGUI_LNC040598)". Lineage: Eukaryota; Viridiplantae; Streptophyta; Magnoliopsida; Arecales; Arecaceae. The record is from RNAcentral.
CAUGUCUUGGCUAGAGGGCACCAAGGGAUUGUCCAUGAGAAGAGAAAGAUCGAUGGAGGGAAUAACUAAAAGAAAAAUGAGAGAGUAAGGACAAUCAGGUGGCAGCGCAUGCCAACCAACCCAACCAUGACAAAUAGAGGUGGUGCCAGUGUUGUUAAGUUGUGCACAAUACAAAAUGAAGGGAAAGGAGGGAUCUGAUGAUGAUGCUUCCUGAUAAGUUAAGGAAGAAAAUAUAACUGGAGAUCAACCAACUACUCAAUGGUGUAGGAGAUCAAGAGGGUAGAGAUUAUUGUUGAGUGAGAAGAAAAGGCGAGGAGAAAUUGAGGAU